Molecule: ribosomal RNA, 827 nt
Filed under: Flavobacteriaceae bacterium ACEMC 28-1
Lineage: Bacteria; Pseudomonadati; Bacteroidota; Flavobacteriia; Flavobacteriales; Flavobacteriaceae
Description: bacterial SSU rRNA
Rfam family: Bacterial small subunit ribosomal RNA
Source: RNAcentral
GCGGCAGGCUUAACACAUGCAAGUCGAGGGGUAACAGAGGUAGCUUGCUACUUGCUGACGACCGGCGCACGGGUGCGUAACGCGUAUAGAAUCUACCUUAUACUGGGGGAUAGCCUUUGGAAACGAAGAUUAAUACCCCAUAGUAUGUUUGAAUGGCAUCAUUUGGACAUUAAAGUUUCGGCGGUAUAAGAUGACUAUGCGUUCUAUUAGUUUGUUGGUAAGGUAACGGCUUACCAAGACUACGAUAGAUAGGGGUCCUGAGAGGGAGAUCCCCCACACUGGUACUGAGACACGGACCAGACUCCUACGGGAGGCAGCAGUGAGGAAUAUUGGACAAUGGAGGCAACUCUGAUCCAGCCAUGCCGCGUGUAGGAAGACUGCCCUAUGGGUUGUAAACUACUUUUAUAUGGGAAGAAUAAGGUCUACGUGUAGACUGAUGACGGUACCAUAAGAAUAAGCACCGGCUAACUCCGUGCCAGCAGCCGCGGUAAUACGGAGGGUGCAAGCGUUAUCCGGAAUCAUUGGGUUUAAAGGGUCCGUAGGCGGGCAUAUAAGUCAGUGGUGAAAGUCUGUGGCUCAACCAUAGAAUUGCCAUUGAUACUGUAUGUCUUGAAUUAUUGUGAAGUGGUUAGAAUAUGUAGUGUAGCGGUGAAAUGCUUAGAGAUUACAUAGAAUACCGAUUGCGAAGGCAGAUCACUAACAAUAUAUUGACGCUGAUGGACGAAAGCGUAGGUAGCGAACAGGAUUAGAUACCCUGGUAGUCUACGCCGUAAACGAUGGAUACUAGUUGUUUGGUUUUCGGACUGAGUGACUAAGCGAAAGUGAUA